Molecule: ribosomal RNA, 586 nt
Filed under: uncultured bacterium
Lineage: Bacteria
Description: partial 16S ribosomal RNA
Rfam family: Bacterial small subunit ribosomal RNA
Source: RNAcentral
UGGGGAAUUUUGGACAAUGGGCGAAAGCCUGAUCCAGCAAUGCCGCGUGUGUGAAGAAGGCCUUCGGGUUGUAAAGCACUUUUGUCCGGAAAGAAAUCCUUGGCUCUAAUACAGUCGGGGGAUGACGGUACCGGAAGAAUAAGCACCGGCUAACUACGUGCCAGCAGCCGCGGUAAUACGUAGGGUGCAAGCGUUAAUCGGAAUUACUGGGCGUAAAGCGUGCGCAGGCGGUUUGCUAAGACCGAUGUGAAAUCCCCGGGCUCAACCUGGGAACUGCAUUGGUGACUGGCAGGCUAGAGUGUGGCAGAGGGGGGUAGAAUUCCACGUGUAGCAGUGAAAUGCGUAGAGAUAUGGAGGAAUACCGAUGGCGAAGGCAGCCCCCUGGGCCAAUACUGACGCUCAUGCACGAAAGCGUGGGGAGCAAAACAGGAUUAGAUACCCUGGUAGUCCACGCCCUAAACGAUGUCAACUAGUUGUUGGGGAUUCAUUUCCUUAGUAACGUAGCUAACGCGUGAAGUUGACCGCCUGGGGAGUACGGUCGCAAGAUUAAAACUCAAAUGAAUUGACGGGGUCAUAGCUGUUUCCU